RNAcentral lists this ribosomal RNA (2520 nucleotides) under Enterobacter hormaechei. Its description in RNAcentral is "bacterial LSU rRNA". It matches the Rfam family "Bacterial large subunit ribosomal RNA". Lineage: Bacteria; Pseudomonadati; Pseudomonadota; Gammaproteobacteria; Enterobacterales; Enterobacteriaceae. The record is from RNAcentral.
AGCGUACACGGUGGAUGCCCUGGCAGUCAGAGGCGAUGAAGGACGUGCUAAUCUGCGAAAAGCGCCGGCGAGGUGAUAUGAACCUUUGACCCGGCGAUGUCCGAAUGGGGAAACCCAGUGCAAUCCGUUGCACUAUCGUUAACUGAAUACAUAGGUUAACGAGGCGAACCGGGGGAACUGAAACAUCUAAGUACCCCGAGGAAAAGAAAUCAACCGAGAUUCCCCCAGUAGCGGCGAGCGAACGGGGAGCAGCCCGGAGUCUGAAUCAGCUUGUGUGUUAGUGGAACGGUCUGGAAAGUCCGACGGUACAGGGUGAUAGUCCCGUACACGAAAGCACACUUGCUGUGAACUCGAAGAGUAGGGCGGGACACGUGGUAUCCUGUCUGAAUAUGGGGGGACCAUCCUCCAAGGCUAAAUACUCCUGACUGACCGAUAGUGAACCAGUACCGUGAGGGAAAGGCGAAAAGAACCCCGGCGAGGGGAGUGAAAAAGAACCUGAAACCGUGUACGUACAAGCAGUGGGAGCCUCUUUAUGGGGUGACUGCGUACCUUUUGUAUAAUGGGUCAGCGACUUAUAUUCUGUAGCAAGGUUAACCGUAUAGGGGAGCCGAAGGGAAACCGAGUCUUAACUGGGCGUUAAGUUGCAGGGUAUAGACCCGAAACCCGGUGAUCUAGCCAUGGGCAGGUUGAAGGUUGGGUAACACUAACUGGAGGACCGAACCGACUAAUGUUGAAAAAUUAGCGGAUGACCUGUGGCUGGGGGUGAAAGGCCAAUCAAACCGGGAGAUAGCUGGUUCUCCCCGAAAGCUAUUUAGGUAGCGCCUCGUGAACUCAUCUUCGGGGGUAGAGCACUGUUUCGGCUAGGGGGCCAUCCCGGCUUACCAACCCGAUGCAAACUACGAAUACCGAAGAAUGUUAUCACGGGAGACACACGGCGGGUGCUAACGUCCGUCGUGAAGAGGGAAACAACCCAGACCGCCAGCUAAGGUCCCAAAGUCAUGGUUAAGUGGGAAACGAUGUGGGAAGGCACAGACAGCCAGGAUGUUGGCUUAGAAGCAGCCAUCAUUUAAAGAAAGCGUAAUAGCUCACUGGUCGAGUCGGCCUGCGCGGAAGAUGUAACGGGGCUAAACCAUGCACCGAAGCUGCGGCAGCGACGCUUAGGCGUUGUUGGGUAGGGGAGCGUUCUGUAAGCCGUUGAAGGUGUNNNNNNNNNNNNNNNNNNNNNNNNNNNNNNNNNNUUAACGCUGAGGUGUGAUGACGAGGCACUACGGUGCUGAAGUGAUAAAUGCCCUGCUUCCAGGAAAAGCCUCUAAGCAUCAGGUAACACGAAAUCGUACCCCAAACCGACACAGGUGGUCAGGUAGAGAAUACCAAGGCGCUUGAGAGAACUCGGGUGAAGGAACUAGGCAAAAUGGUGCCGUAACUUCGGGAGAAGGCACGCUGAUAUGUAGGUGAAGUCCCUGCGGACGGAGCUGAAAUCAGUCGAAGAUACCAGCUGGCUGCAACUGUUUAUUAAAAACACAGCACUGUGCAAACACGAAAGUGGACGUAUACGGUGUGACGCCUGCCCGGUGCCGGAAGGUUAAUUGAUGGGGUUAGCGGCAACGCGAAGCUCUUGAUCGAAGCCCCGGUAAACGGCGGCCGUAACUAUAACGGUCCUAAGGUAGCGAAAUUCCUUGUCGGGUAAGUUCCGACCUGCACGAAUGGCGUAAUGAUGGCCAGGCUGUCUCCACCCGAGACUCAGUGAAAUUGAACUCGCUGUGAAGAUGCAGUGUACCCGCGGCAAGACGGAAAGACCCCGUGAACCUUUACUAUAGCUUGACACUGAACACUGGUCCUUGAUGUGUAGGAUAGGUGGGAGGCUUUGAAGCGUGGACGCCAGUCUGCGUGGAGCCAACCUUGAAAUACCACCCUUUAAUGGCUGGUGUUCUAACGUAGACCCGUAAUCCGGGUUGCGGACAGUGUCUGGUGGGUAGUUUGACUGGGGCGGUCUCCUCCCAAAGAGUAACGGAGGAGCACGAAGGUUGGCUAAUCCUGGUCGGACAUCAGGAGGUUAGUGCAAUGGCAUAAGCCAGCUUGACUGCGAGCGUGACGGCGCGAGCAGGUGCGAAAGCAGGUCAUAGUGAUCCGGUGGUUCUGAAUGGAAGGGCCAUCGCUCAACGGAUAAAAGGUACUCCGGGGAUAACAGGCUGAUACCGCCCAAGAGUUCAUAUCGACGGCGGUGUUUGGCACCUCGAUGUCGGCUCAUCACAUCCUGGGGCUGAAGUAGGUCCCAAGGGUAUGGCUGUUCGCCAUUUAAAGUGGUACGCGAGCUGGGUUUAGAACGUCGUGAGACAGUUCGGUCCCUAUCUGCCGUGGGCGCUGGAGAAUUGAGGGGGGCUGCUCCUAGUACGAGAGGACCGGAGUGGACGCAUCACUGGUGUUCGGGUUGUCAUGCCAAUGGCACUGCCCGGUAGCUAAAUGCGGAAGAGAUAAGUGCUGAAAGCAUCUAAGCACGAAACUUGCCCCGAGAUGAGUUCU